GACGUGAGAGGCGAGCGUUGUUCGUCAUUAAUGGGUCUAAAGGGUGCGUAGGCGGUUUAGUAAAUUUUUUCUUAAUUACACCUUAGAGUGGAUCUGAUAAUACUAGACUAGAGUUAAAAGGAGUAACAAACAGGACAAGAGUAGUGUAACAAUACUUAAAUACUUGAAUGGUUGCGAAGCAGCGAAGGCGUGUUACUAUUAAAGACUGACGCUGAGGCACGAAGGCAUGGGUAUCGAAUGGG
RNAcentral lists this ribosomal RNA (242 nucleotides) under uncultured bacterium. RNAcentral describes it as "partial 16S ribosomal RNA". It matches the Rfam family "Bacterial small subunit ribosomal RNA", at positions 524 to 776 of the family's 1533-position model. The record is from RNAcentral.